AGUGAACGCUGGCGGUAGGCCUAACACAUGCAAGUCGAACGGCAGCACAGUAAGAGCUUGCUCUUACGGGUGGCGAGUGGCGGACGGGUGAGGAAUACAUCGGAAUCUACUUUUUCGUGGGGGAUAACGUAGGGAAACUUACGCUAAUACCGCAUACGACCUACGGGUGAAAGCAGGGGAUCUUCGGACCUUGCGCGAUUGAAUGAGCCGAUGUCGGAUUAGCUAGUUGGCGGGGUAAAGGCCCACCAAGGCGAGGAUCCGUAGCUGGUCUGAGAGGAUGAUGGGCCACGCUGGGACGGAGACACGGCCCAGACGCCUACGGGCGGCAGCCGUAGGGAAUCGUCGGAAAUGGUCGGAAGUCUGACCGAGGAACGCCGCGUGGGAGCAGAAGGUUUUCGGAUCGUAACGCUCGUUUUUAAGAGAAGAACGAGUGUGAGAGUGGAAAGUUCACACUGUGACGGUAUCUUAACAGAAAGGGACGGCUAACUACGUG
This 493-nucleotide ribosomal RNA is filed under the name uncultured bacterium. RNAcentral's name for it is "partial 16S ribosomal RNA". It matches the Rfam family "Bacterial small subunit ribosomal RNA", at positions 29 to 507 of the family's 1533-position model. The record is from RNAcentral.